This 876-nucleotide ribosomal RNA is filed under the name uncultured crenarchaeote. Its description in RNAcentral is "bacterial SSU rRNA". It matches the Rfam family "Archaeal small subunit ribosomal RNA", at positions 21 to 903 of the family's 1478-position model. Lineage: Archaea; Thermoproteati; Thermoproteota. The record is from RNAcentral.
ACCUGACUGCUAUCGGAUUGAUACUAAGCCAUGCGAGUCUUUGCAGUAAUGCAAGGCAUACGGCUCAGUAACACGUAGUCAACUUACCCUAUGGACGAGGAUAAUCUCGGGGAACUGAGCAUAAUACUCGAUAGAUCAUAAUACCUGGAAUGGUUUAUGGUUGAAAUGAUUCGUCGCCAUAGGAUGGGACUGCGGCCUAUCAGCUUGUUGGUGAGGUAAUGGCCCACCAAGGCGAUUACAGGUACGGGCUCUGAGAGGAGAAGCCCGGAGAUGGGUACUGAGACAAGGACCCAGGCCCUAUGGGGCGCAGCAGGCGAGAAAACUUUGCAAUGUGCGAAAGCACGACAAGGUUAAUCCGAGUGAUUUCUGCUAAAGAAAUCUUUUGCAAGUCAUAAAACCACUAGUGAAUAAGGGGUGGGCAAGUUCUGGUGUCAGCCGCCGCGGUAAAACCAGCACCUCAAGUGGUCAGGAGGAUUAUUGGGCCUAAAGCAUCCGUAGCCGGCUCUGUAAGUUUUCGGUUAAAUCCAUGUGCUCAACGCAUGGGCUGCCGAAAAUACUGCAUAGCUAGGGAGUGGGAGAGGUAGACGGUACUCAGUAGGAAGGGGUAAAAUCCUUUGAUCUAUUGAUGACCACCUGUGGCGAAGGCGGUCUACCAGAACACGUUCGACGGUGAGGGAUGAAAGCUGGGGGAGCAAACCGGAUUAGAUACCCGGGUAGUCCCAGCUGUAAACGAUGCAGACUCGAUGAUGCAUUGGCAUAUAGCCAGUGCAGUGUCGCAGGGAAGCCGUUAAGUCUGCCGCCUGGGAAGUACGUACGCAAGUAUGAAACUUAAAGGAAUUGGCGGGGGAGCACCACAAGGGGUGAAGCCUGCGGUUC